Molecule: ribosomal RNA, 392 nt
Filed under: uncultured bacterium
Lineage: Bacteria
Description: partial 16S ribosomal RNA
Rfam family: Bacterial small subunit ribosomal RNA
Source: RNAcentral
AUACGGAGGAUCCGAGCGUUAUCCGGAUUUAUUGGGUUUAAAGGGUGCGCAGGCGGCCAUUUAAGUCAGCGGUUAAAUCGUGGGGCUCAACCCCAUUCUGCCGUUGAUACUGGGUGGCUUGAUUGCGGUCGAGGUUGGCGGAAUUCGUUGUGUAGCGGUGAAAUGCAUAGAUAUGACGAAGAACACCGAUUGCGUAGGCAGCUGACCAGACCGCAAAUGACGCUCAUGCACGAAAGUGCGGUGAUCGAACAGGAUUAGAUACCCUGGUAGUCCGCACAGUAAACGAUGAAUACUUGUUUUCGGCGAUAUAAUGUCGGAGGCAAAGCGAAAGCGAUAAGUAUUCCACCUGGGGAGUACGCCGGCAACGGUGAAACUCAAAGGAAUUGACGGGG